Molecule: ribosomal RNA, 1372 nt
Filed under: uncultured bacterium
Lineage: Bacteria
Description: bacterial SSU rRNA
Rfam family: Bacterial small subunit ribosomal RNA
Source: RNAcentral
GAUGAACGCUGGCGGCGUGCCUAAUACAUGCAAGUCGAGCGAACGGACGAGAAGCUUGCUUCUCUGAUGUUAGCGGCGGACGGGUGAGUAACACGUGGAUAACCUACCUAUAAGACUGGGAUAACUUCGGGAAACCGGAGCUAAUACCGGAUAAUAUUUUGAACCGCAUGGUUCAAAAGUGAAAGACGGUCUUGCUGUCACUUAUAGAUGGAUCCGCGCUGCAUUAGCUAGUUGGUAAGGUAACGGCUUACCAAGGCAACGAUGCAUAGCCGACCUGAGAGGGUGAUCGGCCACACUGGAACUGAGACACGGUCCAGACUCCUACGGGAGGCAGCAGUAGGGAAUCUUCCGCAAUGGGCGAAAGCCUGACGGAGCAACGCCGCGUGAGUGAUGAAGGUCUUCGGAUCGUAAAACUCUGUUAUUAGGGAAGAACAUAUGUGUAAGUAACUGUGCACAUCUUGACGGUACCUAAUCAGAAAGCCACGGCUAACUACGUGCCAGCAGCCGCGGUAAUACGUAGGUGGCAAGCGUUAUCCGGAAUUAUUGGGCGUAAAGCGCGCGUAGGCGGUUUUUUAAGUCUGAUGUGAAAGCCCACGGCUCAACCGUGGAGGGUCAUUGGAAACUGGAAAACUUGAGUGCAGAAGAGGAAAGUGGAAUUCCAUGUGUAGCGGUGAAAUGCGCAGAGAUACGGAGGAACACCAGUGGCGAAGGCGACUUUCUGGUCUGUAACUGACGCUGAUGUGCGAAAGCGUGGGGAUCAAACAGGAUUAGAUACCCUGGUAGUCCACGCCGUAAACGAUGAGUGCUAAGUGUUAGGGGGUUUCCGCCCCUUAGUGCUGCAGCUAACGCAUUAAGCACUCCGCCUGGGGAGUACGACCGCAAGGUUGAAACUCAAAGGAAUUGACGGGGACCCGCACAAGCGGUGGAGCAUGUGGUUUAAUUCGAAGCAACGCGAAGAACCUUACCAAAUCUUGACAUCCUUUGACAACUCUAGAGAUAGAGCCUUCCCCUUCGGGGGACAAAGUGACAGGUGGUGCAUGGUUGUCGUCAGCUCGUGUCGUGAGAUGUUGGGUUAAGUCCCGCAACGAGCGCAACCCUUAAGCUUAGUUGCCAUCAUUAAGUUGGGCACUCUAAGUUGACUGCCGGUGACAAACCGGAGGAAGGUGGGGAUGACGUCAAAUCAUCAUGCCCCUUAUGAUUUGGGCUACACACGUGCUACAAUGGACAAUACAAAGGGCAGCGAAACCGCGAGGUCAAGCAAAUCCCAUAAAGUUGUUCUCAGUUCGGAUUGUAGUCUGCAACUCGACUACAUGAAGCUGGAAUCGCUAGUAAUCGUAGAUCAGCAUGCUACGGUGAAUACGUUCCCGGGUCU